UACAGAGGUCCCGAGCGUUGUUCGGAUUCACUGGGCGUAAAGGGUGCGUAGGCGGCUUGAAAAGUUUGAUGUGAAAGCUCAGGGCUUAACCCUGAAAUGGCAUUGAAUACUGUCGGGCUGGAGGUUUGGAGGGGGGACUGGAAUUCUUGGUGUAGCAGUGAAAUGCGUAGAUAUCAAGAGGAACACCAGUGGCGAAGGCGAGUCCCUGGACAACACCUGACACUGAGGCACGAAAGCUAGGGGAGCAAACAGG
RNAcentral lists this ribosomal RNA (253 nucleotides) under uncultured bacterium. RNAcentral's name for it is "partial 16S ribosomal RNA". It matches the Rfam family "Bacterial small subunit ribosomal RNA", at positions 524 to 776 of the family's 1533-position model. The record is from RNAcentral.